Molecule: ribosomal RNA, 507 nt
Filed under: uncultured bacterium
Lineage: Bacteria
Description: partial 16S ribosomal RNA
Rfam family: Bacterial small subunit ribosomal RNA
Source: RNAcentral
GACGAACGCUGGCGGCGUGCCUAAUACAUGCAAGUCGAACGCAUUUUCUUUCACCGUAGCUUGCUACACCGAAAGAAAAUGAGUGGCGAACGGGUGAGUAACACGUGGGUAACCUGCCCAUCAGCGGGGGAUAACACUUGGAAACAGGUGCUAAUACCGCAUAAUUCCAUUUACCGCAUGGUAGAUGGGUGAAAGGCGCUUUUGCGUCACUGAUGGAUGGACCCGCGGUGCAUUAGCUAGUUGGUGGGGUAACGGCCUACCAAGGCUGCGAUGCAUAGCCGACCUGAGAGGGUGAUCGGCCACACUGGGACUGAGACACGGCCCAGACUCCUACGGGAGGCAGCAGUAGGGAAUCUUCGGCAAUGGACGCAAGUCUGACCGAGCAACGCCGCGGGAGUGAAGAAGGUUUUCGGAUCGUAAAACUCUGUUGUUAGAGAAGAACAAGGAUGAGAGUGGAAAGUUCAUCCCUUGACGGUAUCUAACCAGAAAGCCACGGCUAACUACGUG